This is a long non-coding RNA of Ostrinia nubilalis (European corn borer), 765 nucleotides long. RefSeq lists it as uncharacterized. The record is from RefSeq and is a predicted model, not a curated record. Lineage: Eukaryota; Metazoa; Arthropoda; Insecta; Lepidoptera; Crambidae. The transcript is spliced from 3 exons.
ACAACAAAUCAACAAAACCAACAUUUAUGCAAUCCACGACAAAUCAGGGUUUUUACAUUAAUGUUAUCCACGGGUCGAAACCAAGUGGAUUGUAUUGGUAUGAAGUUAAUUACUUACUAUUCGUUGCAGGUGGAGCGCGCGUCGGCCAAAAAUUUCCAGAUGGCGUGGGUUUUAUCACCAUUGUAGGUAACAGGCGUCUUCUCAUGGCCCAUGGAUAUACCUUCUCCCAGACAGCCCUGAACUACUGGUACUGCUCCAAGAAACACAAAGGCUGCAAGGCGAGGGUCAGCCUGACUGCGGACGAGAAAGAAGUGGCGUCCUGCUGCUUUGAACAUGACCAUCCCCCGCCUGUGUACAAACGCCUUCAAAGUGGGCUGUAUAAAAAGAUGUCCAGUUAAGACGAACAAGAUGAUAAUGACGAAUCUGGCGCAGCGACCCAAAAUACAGAAGUGAAAUUUAUUCAGUUAUCAAAGAAAAAACGCCUGCUGAUGGCCAACAAGUAUACCUUUGCUCAAACGUCUGCGAGACACUGGUACUGCUCCAAGAGGCUGAAAGGCUGUGAAGCGAGGAUCUUCCUCAACAAAGACGAGACUGAGGUGGUGUACAGCAAAAAUGACCAUAACCAUAAACCCCCAGUGUAUUGUCAGAUGAAUUCUGGUUACUACAUGAAGAUUACCAGUUGAUUAAAAAAAUAAUAUUUUUUUCAUUUACAUUUUGAAUUGCAUGCGAUAUGAUAGGGCUUGCCUAUAAGAAAACAUUUUUCAU